Molecule: ribosomal RNA, 275 nt
Filed under: uncultured prokaryote
Description: partial 16S ribosomal RNA
Rfam family: Bacterial small subunit ribosomal RNA
Source: RNAcentral
UACGUAGGUGGCAAGCGUUAUCCGGAUUUACUGGGUGUAAAGGGCGUGUAGGCGGUUUUGUAAGUCAGAUGUGAAAUCUCCGGGCUCAACUCGGAAACUGCAUCUGAAACUAUAAAACUUGAGUACUGGAGAGGAUAGUGGAAUUCCUAGUGUAGCGGUAAGAUGCGUAGAUAUUAGGAGGAACGCCAGUGGCGAAGGCGACUAUCUGGACAGUAACUGACGCUGAGGCGCGAAAGCGUGGGGAGCAAACAGGAUUAGAUACCCCGGUAGUCCCU